This is a non-coding RNA of Nicotiana tabacum (common tobacco), 908 nucleotides long. The record is from RefSeq and is a predicted model, not a curated record. Lineage: Eukaryota; Viridiplantae; Streptophyta; Magnoliopsida; Solanales; Solanaceae.
UUAGACCUUUAAUUGAGUCUUAAUUCCGUUCAGAGGCUAAAAAUACAGAAAAUACACGCCUCUCUUUUCGGUGCUCCUUUUCUGUCUCUUGAAAUCAGACUAUUUCUUCUAAAUCCAAAACAACUUUCAUCCUUCAUGCGUCUCUCUCUUCAACGAUCAAGCAGCCACCGAAUCUUUUUCUUGAAAAUGGUUUGACGUGUAUAUUAGAAGUAUGAUCUUAUAUAUUUGGAUAUAAGCGCAUCCAAAAGCCAAGACAUUGAUGAGUUCACCUCUACCCUUCCCGAAUCUUUGUACUGCACUUUUCGAGGGUUCUACUGCAACCGGCAUUCAUGGUUGGAGUCCAAGUUGUUCAACUCCCCGACCUGGUGUCUCAUCUUUAUCUACUAAUGUAGAUAUAGAUACCCUUGAUUAUGUUGAAGAUCUACAUGGUGACAAAAAUGAUGGAACUUCUAUUAAUUCUCUAGUUUCAACAGAAAGGAAAAAUACGGGAAAGAAAAGAAAAACCACACUGUCUCGAGUAGAAAUUGAUGAUAAGAUGAGUACUGCUUUGGAGCUAUUGAUUAAAAAAAAUAGUGCGCCUAAUGUUGAGGAAUGUAUGAUAAAAUUAGAGGGACUUGGAUGGGAAGAACCGUUAUACAGUGCAACUGUUAGUAUACUUUGCGAAGGUGAUAGCUAUAGACACGCAUGGAUGCAAAUGACAGAGGUCGACAAAUUGGAGAGUUGGGUCAAAGCUAUGGGGGAAAAAUAGGAAUGCUUUAAUUUUGCUAAUUAAUUAGCUGGAAUAUGUUUUAGAUGUUGAUUUUAUGCAAUAUUUUCUUUAUUAUUUUUCAAUUGGUAUCUAUUAUGAAACUUUGUGAUACUAUAUUAUGCUUUGAAUAAAUUUAUUCGUGAAAUACACUUUUUCAGUA